GGGUAUAACUCAGUGGUAGAGUGCUUGUCUAGCAUGCACAAGGUCCUGGGUUCAAACCCCAGCACCUCCA
RNAcentral lists this transfer RNA (70 nucleotides) under Camelus bactrianus (Bactrian camel). It matches the Rfam family "tRNA". From Rfam's summary of the family: Transfer RNA (tRNA) molecules are approximately 80 nucleotides in length. Their secondary structure includes four short double-helical elements and three loops (D, anti-codon, and T loops). Lineage: Eukaryota; Metazoa; Chordata; Mammalia; Artiodactyla; Camelidae. RNAcentral also lists the same sequence under 2 other names. The record is from Rfam by way of RNAcentral.